CCUACGGGUGGCAGCAGUAGGGAAUAUUGCUCAAUGGGGGAAACCCUGAAGCAGCAACGCCGCGUGGAGGAAGAAGGUUUUCGGAUUGUAAAAUCCUUUUGUUAGAGAAGAAAAUGACGGUAUCUAACGAAUAAGCACCGGCUAACUCCGGGCCAGCAGCCGCGGUAAUACGGAGGGUGCAAGCGUUACUCGGAAUCACUGGGCGUAAAGAGCGCGUAGGCGGGAUAGCAAGUCAGAUGUGAAAUCCUAUGGCUGAACCAUAGAACUGCAUUUGACACUGUGAUGCUAGAGUAUGGGAGAGGUAGGUGGAAUUCUUGGUGUAGCGGUAAAAUCCGUAGAGAUCAAGAGGAAUACUCAUGGCGAAGGCGACCUGCUAGAACGUAACUGACGCUGAUGCGCGAAAGCGUGGGGAGCAAACAGGAUUAGAUACCCUUGUAGUC
This 440-nucleotide ribosomal RNA is filed under the name uncultured bacterium. Its description in RNAcentral is "partial 16S ribosomal RNA". It matches the Rfam family "Bacterial small subunit ribosomal RNA", at positions 338 to 795 of the family's 1533-position model. The record is from RNAcentral.